UGGUUAUGUUGCAACAUAAGAAUUUGGGC
This 29-nucleotide non-coding RNA is filed under the name Homo sapiens (human). Lineage: Eukaryota; Metazoa; Chordata; Mammalia; Primates; Hominidae. The record is from RNAcentral.